GAUUAGAACAAAUCAUGUUGUACAGUUUCUCGCAGUGAAAGACUCCGCAUGUGGCCGAAUUGAUAGGAACAAACGAACUUUUUUUUUCCUCUUCAUGAUAUUCCCAGGUGUUGUUCAAAAUCAACUCCGUGCAAAUAUCUAAAGUGAAAAGAACUCAAUAAUGGUUAAAAAAAUUUAAAUAUUUUGCCCAUAUUUAUGGAUGCGAUCAAAAGAAUUAGAACUACGAAAAUCAAAUACUGAACUAGAGUGAUUCGAAUAUGCUAAUAAAUUGUUACAAAUAAACAUUUCCAACCAUUAUGCCCAAUAUCUUCCACCAACACGAUGAGUUAAAUUCGCUACUGCCCUCUGGCUUAUGUUUGUAUGUAACAGACAGAAGGAUGCUGCUUCCAAAUUUCGGAUUUGAUUUAGGCGGAAAUGAUAAGUUGAACUUCUUACUUACUUAAUAACGAGCCAGCGGCUAAGCAACUCCCUGACAAGUUGAAGGAACAAAAUGCAAGGGAAACAUCACAACUUCGACUCGACUCGACUCAGAGCCAAAUGCGCAGCGAUUAUGCUUCAAGUUUAUAAUAAAGCCGACAAGGCGCAAUGCAAAACGCGGCAUACUUUCUUGGGCCAGGUUCAGGACCUGGCCUGCAUUGUCUGCCAAGCCUCUAGCCAUUUGUCAAAAUCGUGAUGACGACAAACCGCAAACUGGCCAUGGUGAUAUAUAAAUUUAAAUUUUUGGUUUUUAACUGUACUUUAAAUUCUAAUUUCAUGCAUUUUGCACAUCAAUAAAAAAGCCAUCCCAGAGUUGACUUAUACUUCUGGGCAAUAGUCUUCCGGACAUGAUUUGAUUUUAUGACCCUGCCAGUUUCCACGUGCAAAACGUGAGGAAAUUUUAGAGGCUUUUUCCUUUUUUCUAGGAGGGAUAUAAUCGUAAUGCGGAUAGUGGAGAGCUAAGGCUUUUGAUAGAUUGUGGAUGAUAAGCUUUACGGUGCCGCAGUGAGAUGAAGAAUUUCAUUAUACCCUGCAACGAUACAAUGGAAAAGGCAUAUAAGAAUCCCCGAAAUAAAUAAAUCUCUGGAAUUUAAGACCUAAAAGCACCUAACAAAAUUUUGAACUAGAG
Drosophila willistoni is the source of this 1105-nucleotide long non-coding RNA. RefSeq lists it as uncharacterized. The transcript is spliced from 4 exons. NCBI's taxonomy places the organism in Eukaryota, Metazoa, Arthropoda, Insecta, Diptera, Drosophilidae. The record is from RefSeq and is a predicted model, not a curated record.